GUCGGGUCUGAAGGUUUAGUUUGGGGUUCUGUAGCCUUUGUUAGCAUCGGUUCACAGAUUUAAAAGUUUUCUGCAAGAUUCUUAGAUUUAUUUUGUAUGUUUGCUGUCGGUGCCACCAGAGUUUGUGCCUCAGUUUACUGCUGGAAUAUUUAUCAGUUUACACAUCUUAUUUAUAGGUUUAUAGUCUGUUUGUCAGCACUAACAUGUAGUGUUAAUGAUUAAGAAAUAGCGUCUAUGCAAAUGUAAAUAUGUGGUCGCCUGAGUUCUAGAGGUCUGAGGGCUGAACUACGGAGCUGAAUUAAUAAAUCCAAACUUUCUUUGAGUUAGUUGGAUCAACAAAACCUAAAAGUCAGAAAUGAAGAGCAAAACUUUAUUUGUUCAGCAGGUUUCCUUCUUUGGGAACAGGUUGUUCUAAUGGAGAUGCAUGAAGAAUAAUUCUUUUUUAAUGGUAAAAAUCAGGACUGAUGCUGCGAAUGUUGCCAGAGAUUAAUGCUGUAAGUUAAUAAAGUGACUCUCAGCUGCACAUUGAAGCUCAGAAUCUUUAAACUUCUUCAUUUAAACUGUUUGAUACUGUCCCAGAGGAAGGAGACGAGGAAAUCAAUUUAGUUGCUGAACAAAUCCAGGCGAAAUCAAUGUUUCUGAUUGAUAAAUACCAACACUGAUCAGUUGUCUGAUCUGUGUUCAAAUCAGGACCAGACAGAAAAACAUUUGUGUUUAAAAUCUCAGAUUAUGAACAGAACCUCGUCUGGAGCAGGUUGGCUCCACAGCAUCAGUUACCAUGGUGAUCUGGCUCCACAGCAUCAGUUACCAUGAAGAUCUGGCUCCACAGCAUCAGUUACCAUGACGAUCUAGCUGUACAGCAUCAGUUACCAUGGAGAUGUAGCUGGUUUAUGACAUUGAAACUCUGACUUUAGCCUCAUCUAACCUGCUAACUCGGUGUUCCUGCUUCGUAGCUCUGCCCUCUGAUUCCAGAAACAGAUCCAGGAUAAAGCGGGAGAAAUAAUCAGGUGAAGUUUACAGACGACACAUUAAAUCCUGUUUAGUGUGAAUAGAUUUAGAUUCUAACUCUGAUCCUGUGAGAGAGUCUGAUUUGUUUUUGAUGCCUAAAAGCGACUCAAUCAUCUGACAGAAGUCUGAAGAAGUCGAAGCUGCACUGACCGUUGUUGGAGAAACGCUGCCUGCUCGGGUUUACUGACUACAAUAUCGACAAGCUGUUUAUCCCCUAUAGUAAACGCUGGUGAUGAAAAUCAAACCAGAAUUUAAUAUUUAAAGGAUCCUCACUGAGUCGUCACUAAUGGAAAACCUGUCCUCUUUGUUUGCUUUGCUUGAUUUAUCUGCUGCAUUCCAGCCGAUGCUGUUUGUCAUGAAAUGUGUGCAUGGCACGCCCAAUAAAGUUUUUUAAAGUCUG
Molecule: long non-coding RNA, 1408 nt
Organism: Amphiprion ocellaris (clown anemonefish)
Lineage: Eukaryota; Metazoa; Chordata; Actinopteri; Pomacentridae
Source: Ensembl